UACAGAGGUGGCAAGCGUUGUUCGGAAUUACUGGGCGUAAAGGGCGCGUAGGCGGUUCGUUAAGUCCUGUGUGAAAUCCCCCGGCUCAACUGGGGAACUGCACAGGAAACUAGCGGGCUUGAGUUCGGGAGAGGGAAGCGGAAUUCCGGGUGUAGCGGUGAAAUGCGUAGAUAUCGCUUGGAACGCCGAAGGUGAAAACAGGUCGCUGGGGAUGUGCCGACGCUGAGACACGAAAGCCAGGGGAGCAAACGGG
Molecule: ribosomal RNA, 253 nt
Filed under: uncultured bacterium
Lineage: Bacteria
Description: partial 16S ribosomal RNA
Rfam family: Bacterial small subunit ribosomal RNA
Source: RNAcentral